AUGCAUGUCUAAGUUCACACUGUCUCACGGUGAAACCGCGAAUGGCUCAUUAAAUCAGUCGAGGUUCCUUAGAUGACACGAUCCUACUUGGAUAACUGUGGCAAUUCUAGAGCUAAUACAUGCUUAUCAAGCUCCGACCCUCGUGGAAAGAGCGCUUUUAUUAGUUCAAAACCAAUCGCGGCGUCUCUUCGCGGAGGCGUCGCUGAACACUGUUGGUGACUCUGGAUAACUUUGUGCUGAUCGCAUGGCCUUGCGCCGGCGACGCAUCUUUCAAAUGUCUGCCCUAUCAAAUGUCGAUGGUACGUGAUAUGCCUACCAUGUUUGUAACGGGUAACGGGGAAUCAGGGUUCGAUUCCGGAGAGGGAGCAUGAGAAACGGCUACCACA
RNAcentral lists this ribosomal RNA (386 nucleotides) under Diacavolinia longirostris. RNAcentral describes it as "SSU rRNA". It matches the Rfam family "Eukaryotic small subunit ribosomal RNA", at positions 51 to 414 of the family's 1831-position model. Lineage: Eukaryota; Metazoa; Mollusca; Gastropoda; Pteropoda; Cavoliniidae. The record is from RNAcentral.